RNAcentral lists this ribosomal RNA (180 nucleotides) under uncultured Glomeromycotina. RNAcentral describes it as "partial small subunit ribosomal RNA". Lineage: Eukaryota; Fungi; Glomeromycota. The record is from RNAcentral.
GGCCUGGUUGGGUGGUCUUGCCGCAAGGUAAGCACUGCUCCGAUCGGGUCUUUCCUUCUGGGGAACCAAUGUGCUCUUAACUGAGUGCGUUGGGGAGCCAGGACUUUUACUUUGAAAAAAUUAGAGUGUUUAAAGCAAGCGUACGCUUGAAUACAUUAGCAUGGAAUAAUGAAAUAGGGC